This 497-nucleotide ribosomal RNA is filed under the name uncultured bacterium. RNAcentral describes it as "partial 16S ribosomal RNA". It matches the Rfam family "Bacterial small subunit ribosomal RNA", at positions 28 to 507 of the family's 1533-position model. The record is from RNAcentral.
GAUGAACGCUGGCGGCGUGCCUAAUACAUGCAAGUCGAGCGAACAGACGAGGAGCUUACUCCUCUGACGUUAGCGGCGGACGGGUGAGUAACACGUGGAUAACCUACCUAUAAGACUGGGAUAACUUCGGGAAACCGGAGCUAAUACCGGAUAAUAUAUUGAACCGCAUGGUUCAAUAGUGAAAGACGGUUUUGCUGUCACUUAUAGAUGGAUCCGCGCCGCAUUAGCUAGUUGGUAAGGUAACGGCUUACCAAGGCAACGAUGCGUAGCCGACCUGAGAGGGUGAUCGGCCACACUGGAACUGAGACACGGUCCAGACUCCUACGGGAGGCAGCAGUAGGGAAUCUUCCGCAAUGGGCGAAAGCCUGACGGAGCAACGCCGCGUGAGUGAUGAAGGUCUUCGGAUCGUAAAACUCUGUUAUUAGGGAAGAACAAAUGUGUAAGUAACUAUGCACGUCUUGGCGGUACCUAAUCAGAAAGCCACGGCUAACUACGUG